GUGAGCAGGAUUAGAGAGCAAGUGAGCAGCAUUAGAGAGCAAGUGAGCAGCAUUAGAGAGCAAGUGAGCAGCAUUAGAGAGCAAGUGAGCAGCAUUAGAGAGCAAGUGAGCAGGAUUAGAGAGCAAGUGAGCAGGAUUAGAGAGCAAGUGAGCAGCAUUAGAGAGCAAGUGAGCAGCAUUAGAGAGCAAGUGAGCAGCAUUAGAGAGCAAGUGAGCAGGAUUAGAGAGCAAGUGAGCAGGAUUAGAGAGCAAGUGAGCAGCAUUAGAGAGCAAGUGAGCAGCAUUAGAGAGCAAGUGAGCAGCAUUAGAGAGCAAGUGAGCAGGAUUAGAGAGCCAGUGAGGAGGAUUAGAGAGCCAGUGAGGAGACUGCAUGAUGUGAGAGCUCCUGUGACAUUCUCUGUGGCUGCUUCAGUCUGUCUGUCUCUUCAUGUCCAUAGGCAGAGAGAGGAGAAUGGGCAGUUCGAGCAGGAUCCAGCCUCAUACACAGCUAAGCCUGUUAGUGACACAUUUUUGUGUCCUCUCAAAUGCACAAGCAGAUAAUUGUGUGCGCUCCAUCUUUGUGUGAGGAGGAGGCCAGGGUGUAAAUGGCUUUUAAUGACUGCAGCUGCUGCCUGAAAACUGUCAAUGGAACGGGCUAUUUGUGAGCCCCUGAAAUGUUCUCAAUGUAACUGGAAGAUGUGCAGUGCCCGGCAAUCCACAAUCCACUGGCUGAACUACAUCAGCAGAGACGAGAGAACUGGCAGUGGGAGCCCCUCUCAGCAAAUCCAUUCCGGACCCUAAUACAGACGCUGCCUCCCCUUACUGAACCACGGAUAUUGCCACUUUCUCCAUACUGUCCUGGCUUCAGAAGAGGAAUUCAGAAAACCUAUUAGAAUACCUGGGAUUUAAAAAAUGCUGAGAUGCUCCGUUUAUCUACUUGUACUUACUCUAAUUUAGUUUUCAUUUCCUUAUGUCCCAUGAAGCCUUCAGAGAAAUGUCACAGAGGCAGAUGGAGCCACGGACACCGGGAAUGAUCCCACAAACAACAAAUACACCGAUAAAUGUCUCCCAUUGGUGGAAACGAGAUAAUGGUU
Xenopus laevis (African clawed frog) is the source of this 1073-nucleotide long non-coding RNA. RefSeq lists it as uncharacterized. NCBI's taxonomy places the organism in Eukaryota, Metazoa, Chordata, Amphibia, Anura, Pipidae. The record is from RefSeq and is a predicted model, not a curated record. The transcript has 2 exons.